GGCACAGGAAGCUCUGGGUGGUUUGGCUCCAGCUCUUGAAAACAAGCUCCUUGUUUGCCCUCCUGAGUUGAUGGUCUGGUGGAGAAUUUGUCUGAAGGAAUUUGUUCCAGGAAAGGUCCAGCUGCAUUUGACAGGAAAGGGAGAAAAGAGAGAAUGAGGCAUAAAUCUCUGGCCUUCUGCCUCUUGCUUGGGAAUCUGUCCUUUCCAGCCUGCACCCACACCCUUGGAGCCCAAAACCAUGCCAUGCACAUGUAACCAACCAGCUACAUGUGAAGGUCACAUAAAGGUGUUCUUGUCCUGGCUCCAGCUAAGGUUCCAGCUCUCAGUCAGCAUCAAUUGUGGAAGUGGGAGUACAUGAGCUUUUAGAUGAUUUCAGUCCCCUGCCUUUGACACCAAGUGGAACUGAGAUGCUCUUUCCACUGAGCCCUGGUCAAACUGCAGAUUCAUGAGCAAAAUAAACACCAUCAUCACUGAAGCAA
RNAcentral lists this long non-coding RNA (479 nucleotides) under Pongo abelii (Sumatran orangutan). RNAcentral describes it as "lincRNA". Lineage: Eukaryota; Metazoa; Chordata; Mammalia; Primates; Hominidae. The record is from RNAcentral.